RNAcentral lists this ribosomal RNA (253 nucleotides) under uncultured bacterium. RNAcentral describes it as "partial 16S ribosomal RNA". It matches the Rfam family "Bacterial small subunit ribosomal RNA", at positions 524 to 776 of the family's 1533-position model. The record is from RNAcentral.
UACGUAGGGGGCAAGCGUUAUCCGGAUUCACUGGGCGUAAAGGGAGCGCAGGCGGCAUGGCAAGUCUGAUGUGAAAACCCGGAGCCCAACCCCGGGAGUGCAUUGGAAACUGCCAGGCUGGAGUGUCGGAGGGGUAAGCGGAAUUCCUAGUGUAGCGGUGAAAUGCGUAGAUAUUAGGAGGAACACCAGUGGCGAAGGCGGCUUACUGGACGACUACUGACGCUGAGGCUCGAAAGCGUGGGGAGCAAACAGG